Long non-coding RNA from Prunus persica (peach), 1605 nucleotides. RefSeq lists it as uncharacterized. The transcript has 2 exons. NCBI's taxonomy places the organism in Eukaryota, Viridiplantae, Streptophyta, Magnoliopsida, Rosales, Rosaceae. The record is from RefSeq and is a predicted model, not a curated record.
ACACCCAAAGGAUAAAAAAAUCCUUCUCCAAGUGAAGUAUGGAUUAAGCUCCUUAUUGAUUUGGAAUCGCUGGAUCAUCCAGUGAAGUAAACUUCUUGUCCACAUAGGAUUGGGCCAUAUGUGUUUUCCUUAUAAAAAAGAAAACAUAUGUGCCCCAGCAAAACAGCAACAAAACGAAAGUCUUAAUAUUAUUCUUCGUUUGCUUCUCCAGACCAGUACAUAGCUUUGCUCAAGCCACCUAUUGCACCAUCAAACAGAAGAGGAUUUCACGUGGUAACCCACAUGCCAUUCCUUAGUUCUUCUCUUUUAUUUUAUUUAUUGAUUGAACUAACUAGGAUUUUUUUUUCAUGGACAGCAAUAACAGUAGCAAUAGAAGACCCUCCAAUUAAUUGGAUGCUUCUGGGCUGACUUGGAACCUAAAGAGACAACUUCUCUUAUUGUCCUUUGUGUGCUAUAACCUUCCCAAGGUCAAUAACCCAAGACAAAGGGAAAGAGAAAUCAUCUUGCCUUUCACGUGAGACUGUGCUGCCAGCUUGAAGGUUUUGGAGAUUUCUCUAUUUGGUGGAGGAAACCACUGUCAUUUUGCUUCAGAAACCCAAGAGAGAACUUGUGGUACCUGCCUUGCCAGCUCCCUUUUUUUUUGUUUGCUGUUGCUGUACCAUUGCCCAUGUCCUUUUCUUUUACUCAAUUCCCAGUCAGAAUAAACCAAAGAAAUAUUCAAGAGAGGGAGGAGGGGCUGUGCGAUACAGCCCCCCUUUUUUUAUUUCAUUACUUUUUUUACGUCCCUUGUUUUUUUCUUUUACAAACAAAACCCAACACACAGAACCACUUUUCCUUUUGCUCCAUUCUUCCUCUGUUGGCUUUUUUCGUUGGCUUGCAGGCAGCUAACACUCAUGAGGAGGCAAUUCAAUUUCCAUGCGCCCCUUUUGGUUUCGGAUGCUUCAUACAGAGAUUUUACACAGGGACUUGUAAUUACAAGCUUUCGCUCUUUUGAUUUUGAUCCCAUGGUGGGUUCAUCUCUACAUCCAUGAUUUGAGGGAUUCUUUGCUCCUGGAAGAGCUUAUUUGGUGGUGCAUGAUGGAAUAGACUAUGCCAUAAAACAUGAUGAUUGAAAUCAUCAUGGAAGGCAAACUUGAAAAUACUGCUGGAGUUCUUUGAGCGGAGCCAAGCCUCAGAGAGAUUCUUAACCUUGGUUAUGAUGAUUUCAAUCAUCAUAGCCAAGAAUUUCUAUGGAUUGAUCAAACAAACUGCUGGGUGCGGAUCGUAUCCUCGGAAUUACUUGAGCGGAGCUGUCCCUUAGAGAGAUUACUGACCCUUUUUAUGAUGAUAGAAAUCAUCAUGGCCAGGAACCCUUGAGUUGAAUGGAACCUGAAAUCUUGAGCAAAAAAUUAGAAAAUUGUGCCAUGGAACUAAUCUUUUUACCUUGAAAUGGCUCUUUCCUUUCUCAAGUCUGCUUGCUAAUUUUUCUUCUUGCUAUGACUGUUCUCCUUUCUGCUCUUUUUCUGUCCUCCUCCUGUCCUUCUCUUCUCCUCCCCUCGUGUCAUGCCUCUUAUAGAGGCUAUCUUAUGAUGAGUUUGAAUUCAAGCUGAUGACCACUUCUCAACC